CUGGAUGGGUGUCUUCAUGUGUGCUUGUGAAAAGAGGGAGGGAGAAGGUGAUCUGCUCUGUCAUGAGAUGCUCUGUAAUAAGGUCUGGUACGAGGAACAGAUGGACAUUAUUUGAGAGACAGAACUGGAACUAAAUGAGUGUAAUGACAAGCCAAGUGCUUCAGCAGAGCAAGAGUGACGUGAAACUAAUGGAGGAGGAGAAACGAAAGGACAGAGGCGGAAUAGUGAGAACGACGGAAGGGGGACAGAUGAGCAUGUGUAUUUAUCCGGUGAAGAGAGACUGAUGAAGGAAUGCUGCCAUCAAAAGCUUUGAGUGAGUAUACUACAGAAAUGAAUACAAAGUCUAUUUAUAUCUUAAGUUGUACUUUAUUUUAAUUAUCGUAAUUUUAAACAGGGUUAUUACAGCACUUUUCUGAUUCUUGAUGUCUGUAUGUUUGCUGCAGAGCUUUUGUGGUGGAGCAGGACCUGCAAGGAAAGGUGACGGCAGCAUUUGUGGGGAAAAAAAAGAAAAAAGGAACCAGCAGGGAUUGAACAGCGUGAAGGUGAGUAAAUAAUGACUGAAUUUAUUAGUUUGGGGGAACUAACCCUUUAUGCCCCUAAAUAGAAACUGUAUGAAAUGUAUGUAUGCAUUUAUAUUAUAGUAGUACCUUCAAAAAGUAACUUUAAGAAAUAAGCAGCUUUAUUGAGUGUUUGUGCCUAAGACACUAACAAAAAAGGAUUUACAAAAAUCACAUUUAUUAACAGUUAUGCAUUUCGCAGAUGCUUUUAUCCUAAGCGACUUACAGUGCUCUUAUUACAGGGACGAUCAAUGUGGAGUAACCUGGAGUAGAGUGUCUUGCUCAAGGACACACUGGUGGUGACGCUGCGGAGAUCGAGCCAGCAACCUUCUGCUUACCACCUACUGGCAGUUUUAGUUUCUUAUUUAGAGUGUCACUUCAUUAAAGUGCCCCAUUAUGCUUUUUCAAAUAUUACCUUUAAUGCUAUGUGUAAUGUAGCUGUCUGUGAAUGUAAAUGAUCUGCAAAGUUGUGAAGCCGAAAGUGCAAGAUAAAUAAAGUUGAGAAAAAAAAAAAAAAAAA
Ctenopharyngodon idella (grass carp) is the source of this 1077-nucleotide long non-coding RNA. RefSeq lists it as uncharacterized. The transcript is spliced from 2 exons. Lineage: Eukaryota; Metazoa; Chordata; Actinopteri; Cypriniformes; Xenocyprididae. The record is from RefSeq and is a predicted model, not a curated record.